UGGCUGUCGUCAGCUCGUGUUGUGAGAUGUUGGGUUAAGUCCCGCAACGAGCGCAACCCUCGUCGUUAGUUACCAGCAUUUAGUUGGGGACUCUAACGAGACUGCCGAGCUAUAAGCCGGAGGAAGGUGGGGAUGACGUCAAGUCCUCAUGGCCUUUAUGUCCAGGGCUACACACGUGCUACAAUGGGAAGUACAAAACGCUGCUAACUCGCAAGAGUGUGCUAAUCGUAAAAA
This 234-nucleotide ribosomal RNA is filed under the name uncultured bacterium. RNAcentral's name for it is "partial 16S ribosomal RNA". It matches the Rfam family "Bacterial small subunit ribosomal RNA", at positions 1046 to 1280 of the family's 1533-position model. The record is from RNAcentral.